RNAcentral lists this long non-coding RNA (417 nucleotides) under Anser cygnoides (Swan goose). RNAcentral describes it as "lncRNA (ENSACDG00005003731.1)". Lineage: Eukaryota; Metazoa; Chordata; Aves; Anseriformes; Anatidae. The record is from RNAcentral.
CGGCUGGCNNNNNNNNNNNNNNNNNNNNAUCCAAAACAUAGCACCCUACCAGCUACUAGGAGGAAAAAUUAACUCUGUCCUAACUGGAACCAGGACACACACCAAUGAAUCUUCUUGUAGACUUAGAAUCCAUUUGUUUGCUGAUUAGUUUUCCAGGGAGUUGACAUUGGAUGUUCUCAGUUCCAUGGUUCCUCACGCAAAUCGUACGUGUGAACGACAGUGGAGCUACAGGACUUUGCAACAGUGAUGAUGGAGUAGUAACUGGAAGAACUGACAAUAUAAGUAUAGGGAACUUGCUGUGGUGCAGGAUUUGAUCCUGCACCCUCCCUGAAGCCCUCAGAAAAUGAAGCCCGUUCCAGGGGCCGCUGCACCGUCCCGCGGUCCCAGGCCGCAGCCCCACCGCUUCUCAGUGUCCUG